Amborella trichopoda is the source of this 1975-nucleotide non-coding RNA. NCBI's taxonomy places the organism in Eukaryota, Viridiplantae, Streptophyta, Magnoliopsida, Amborellales, Amborellaceae. The record is from RefSeq and is a predicted model, not a curated record.
UAUACUCGAUUUGGAGAGAGAGAGAUUGUUGUUCAUGCCAAACCUGCAAAAUACAUAAAAAGAGAGAGGCCAAUGGAAGGGAGAAAGGCUGAGUUCCACCAUGACAUUGCCCUCUUACUACUUUUGAUGUGGGUGACUAUCUCAGAGUGCAUCACAGCAGAUUCUUCGGCAAGAGUGGAGUUUCUUCCUGGCUUUGAAGGGGCCCUCCCAUUCGAUUUCUUCUCCGGGUAUAUUAGUGUAGAUGAGGUGAAUGAAUAUAGACUGUUCUACUACCUUAUCAAGUCUGAGAAUAACCCAUCUAAGGAUCCCCUCCUGCUCUGGCUCACCGGUGGCCCUGGAUGCUCAGGUUUCAGUGGUCUCGUCAUCGAAACAGGCCCACUGCGCAUUAAGGUGGAGGAGUAUAAUGGAACUUUGCCAGCUCUUCGGUACAAUCCUUAUUCUUGGACUAAGGUUGCUAACGUAAUAUAUGUGGAUUCACCAAUUGGAACUGGCUUUUCAUAUUCCAAAUCCCCUCCCGACUAUGCCACCAGCGAUUCCAAGACUGUCAAAGAUCUCCAUAAAUUUUUGACCAAUUGGUUCAUUGAAUACCCAGAAUUCUUGUCAAACCCACUGUACAUUGCGGGGGAUUCCUACUCAGGAAUAACAGUCCCAGUCUUAACUUCUGAAAUAGCCAAUGGCAUUGAUUCCGGUUAUCGACCUGUUUUUAAUCUCAAGGGUUACUUGGUGGGCAAUCCAGUCACAGAUGUUGAGUUUGAUUCCCAGGUAGUUCCAUUUGCUCAUGGGAUGGGCCUCAUAUCAGAUGAAUUGUUUGAGGCUACCAAGAUAAGUUGCAAUGGCAAGUAUGCUUUCCCAAAAGGUUCACAGUGUAAUUUAAAUAUGCAAGCUGUACAUGAGUGCCUUUCAAGAAUUAAUACCCCCCACAUUUUGGAGCCAUUAUGCCCUUUUGCUUCUCCAAGGCCAAGAGUAGAAAUAGGAACAGGACUUAGGAGAUGGCUCCAUGAGAAUUCCUCUGGUAUACAUCUCCAGUCAACUCCUAUAUUUUGCAGGACAUAUGGAUAUAUGCUUUCCCAUUAUUGGGCAAACAAUGAGAGGGUUCAAGAGGUGCUCCAUGUGAAGAAGGGAACUGUAAACGAAUGGAAAAGAUGCAACUAUGGUAUCAAUUUUAAAGCAGAUGUUGCAAGUUCUGUUGUUUAUCAUUAUAAUUUGACUAUGAGAGGCUACUCAGCUCUCAUUUAUAGUGGAGAUCAUGAUAGCAGUGUUCCAUUUAUUGGUACUCAAGCUUGGAUAAGAUCUCUUGAGUUCCCGAUCAUAGAUGAUUGGAGAGCUUGGUUGGUUGAUGGCCAAGUUGUAGGCUACACCAGGAAGUACACCAAUAAUUUGACCUUUGCUACUGUCAAGGAGCAAUGCUAGGCCGCUUCACACAUAGGAGAGAAAUUUCGUAGUUGCUGAUCACCAAUAAGAAUGAUGUUGAGUCAAUUUGAGCUUGUGCUCCAGCCAUAUGAUCAAUUUCGAGAGUACAUAAUAAGGUAAGCUUGAGCUCGUGUUCCAGCCAUAUGAUCGCUUUCAAGAGUACAUAAUAAGGUAAGCUCGUUUUCAUUGCUAUAUUAGGCUCCACGCAAACCUCACUAUUUGGAUAAAAGAAAUGGAGGAACACCCACCCUGCUUCACGGCUGCCUUCUACUCUUUAGAACUCAAGAACCUUGAUUAGAAUCAUUUGAGCUUGGAGAUUAGAAAAAGCUCUAAGUCGAGUGAAUUUUUCAGUUGGUCUCCUCACCUUCAACUGAUAUACAUGGAGCUAUCGAAAGAGGAAGUGAAUCUUGGAAAGAAUGUACAAAAGUUUGAACGGACUUUUUUGUUGAAUCUGCACCUUUUCCUGGGUAAUUUGGGAGGAGCCGGGCACACAGCUCCCGAGUAUAAGCCCAAAGAAUGCGUUGCAAUGUUAAAGAGGUGGAUCUCAAAUGAGCCAUUGUAAAUU